RNAcentral lists this unclassified non-coding RNA (253 nucleotides) under uncultured Parcubacteria group bacterium. RNAcentral describes it as "contains 16S-23S intergenic spacer region". It matches the Rfam family "Bacterial small subunit ribosomal RNA", at positions 524 to 776 of the family's 1533-position model. The record is from RNAcentral.
UACAGAGGCCCCAAGCGUUACCCGGAAUCACUGGGCGUAAAGCGUGUGUAGGCGGCAGUGUUAGUCUUCUGUUAAAACUCCGGGCUCAACCCGGAGAUCGCAGGGGAAACGGCACUGCUCGAGGAUGCGAGAGGUAUAGGGAACUCUAGGUGUAGGGGUGAAAUCCGUUGAUAUCUAGGGGAACACCAAAAGCGAAGGCACUAUACUGGCGCAUUCCUGACGCUGAGACACGAAAGCGUGGGUAGCGAAUGGG